UCACUGAGAAGGAGCAGAUUGUUCCCAAACCAGAGGAAGAGGUUUCUCAGAAGAAAAAGGUUUCUCAGAAGAAACUGAAGAAGCAGAAACUUAUGGCUCGGGAGUAAAUGUAAAUAAAGUCCAACAUUCGUACUACA
Long non-coding RNA from Sinocyclocheilus grahami, 137 nucleotides. RefSeq lists it as uncharacterized. The transcript is spliced from 2 exons. The record is from RefSeq and is a predicted model, not a curated record. Lineage: Eukaryota; Metazoa; Chordata; Actinopteri; Cypriniformes; Cyprinidae.